Molecule: ribosomal RNA, 354 nt
Filed under: Triticum aestivum (bread wheat)
Lineage: Eukaryota; Viridiplantae; Streptophyta; Magnoliopsida; Poales; Poaceae
Description: partial small subunit ribosomal RNA
Source: RNAcentral
AUGAAAGGCAAAUGGGAUUCAGGUCCGGACCUUUUCCCUUUUUGGGGUUUUGGAUUGUCAUCAAAACCACGUUCGGGCUCCGGCACUCUUGCCAAAGCUCUCUCGAUGACCACGACGUGGAACAAAUGGAAGCAGUGGCAAAGUGGCAGCGACUUUGGCGUUGUUGAGUGCGCCGUUGCAGCAGUGUCCAGCGCUGUUGACCUGAAAAACCUUUCAAGAGCAGAAUCACGACUCCUCCAGCUCGCACAGACACUUUUCACCUUUUAUUACUUCGACGUCUUACACCAUCCACAGCCGGAUACACCCGAUCAGGCCCUUAAACACCUGCGGACGUACCCGUGUCCGUGGCAGUGA